This 506-nucleotide ribosomal RNA is filed under the name uncultured bacterium. Its description in RNAcentral is "partial 16S ribosomal RNA". It matches the Rfam family "Bacterial small subunit ribosomal RNA", at positions 30 to 523 of the family's 1533-position model. The record is from RNAcentral.
AUUGAACGCUGGCGGCAUGCCUAACACAUGCAAGUCGAACGGCAGCAUGGUGCAGUUUACUGUACUGAUGGCGAGUGGCGGACGGGUGAGUAACGCGUAGGAAUACACCUUUAGGACUGGGACAACUUGUGGAAACGCGAGCUAAUACCGGAUAAUAGCUGAGGAUAACAGCUGGGGACCUUAGGGCCUGGCGUCUAGAGAGUAGCCUGCGUCUGAUUGGCUAGUUGGUGGGGUAAGGGCCUACCAAGGCGACGCUCGGUAGCUGGUCUGAGAGGAUGGACGGCCACACUGGGACUGAGAGACGGCCCAGACUCCUACGGGAGGCAGCAGUGGGGAAUAUUGGACAAUGGGGGGAACCCUGAUCCAGCGAUGCCGCGUGUGUGAAGAAGGCCUGAGGGUUGUAAAGCACUUUAGGUGGGGAGGAGGAUUUAUUGGUUAAGAGCUGAUGAAUUGGACGUUACCCACGGAAUAAGCACCGGCUAACUCCGUGCCAGCAGCCGCAGUAA